CUACGGGGUGCAGCAGUGAGGAAUAUUGCACAAUGGGGGGAACCCUGAUGCAGCAACGCCGCGUGGAGGAUGACGCAUUUCGGUGUGUAAACUCCUUUUAUAUGUCAAGAAAAUGACGGUAGCAUAUGAAUAAGCACCGGCUAACUCCGCGCCAGCAGCCGCGGUAAUACGGAGGGUGCAAGCGUUACUCGGAAUCACUGGGCGUAAAGGACGCGUAGGCGGGUUGGAAAGUCAGGUGUGAAAUCCUACAGCUUAACUGUAGAACUGCACUUGAAACUUCUAAUCUAGAGUAUGGGAGGGGGAGAUGGAAUUAGUGGUGUAGGGGUAACAUCCGUAGAUAUCACUAGGAAUACCUAAAGCGAAGGCGAUCUCCUGGAACAUUACUGACGCUAAGGCGUGAAAGCGUGGGGAGCAAACAGGAUUAGAUACCCCAGUAGUC
This 439-nucleotide ribosomal RNA is filed under the name uncultured bacterium. RNAcentral describes it as "partial 16S ribosomal RNA". It matches the Rfam family "Bacterial small subunit ribosomal RNA", at positions 339 to 795 of the family's 1533-position model. The record is from RNAcentral.